Molecule: ribosomal RNA, 228 nt
Filed under: uncultured bacterium
Lineage: Bacteria
Description: partial 16S ribosomal RNA
Rfam family: Bacterial small subunit ribosomal RNA
Source: RNAcentral
CGGGUGAGUAAUAUAUCGGAACGUACCCAAGAGUGGGGGAUAACGUAGCGAAAGUUACGCUAAUACCGCAUACGAUCCAAGGAUGAAAGUGGGGGACCUUCGGGCCUCAUGCUCCUGGAGCGGCCGAUAUCUGAUUAGCUAGUUGGUGAGGUAAAGGCUCACCAAGGCGACGAUCAGUAGCUGGUCUGAGAGGACGACCAGCCACACUGGGACUGAGACACGGCCCAG